Molecule: ribosomal RNA, 513 nt
Filed under: Ameletopsis perscitus
Lineage: Eukaryota; Metazoa; Arthropoda; Insecta; Ephemeroptera; Ameletopsidae
Description: partial 16S ribosomal RNA
Rfam family: Bacterial large subunit ribosomal RNA
Source: RNAcentral
AACAUCGCCUUUUGGAAAGUUAGAAGGUCUAACCUGCCCACUGAAGAAGUUAAAGGGCCGCGGUAUAUUGACCGUGCAAAGGUAGCAUAAUCAUUAGUCUUCUAAUUAAAGGCUGGAAUGAAUGGUUGGACGAGGUGCUUGCUGUCUCAUUAAAAUGAAUGGAAUUUAACUUUUCAGUCAAAAGGCUGAAAUGAGGUUGGAGGACGAGAAGACCCUAUAGAGCUUUAUACCUGAAGUGUUUAGUUUUUCUAGAAGAAUUUUUACUUAAUUAUGAGGGUAUUUUGUUGGGGUGACGGGGAAAUAAGAAGAACUUUCUUUUAUUUAAAACACAGAUGGGUGGGCGAUUGAUCCAUUUAUAGUGAUUAUAAGACUAAGUUACCUUAGGGAUAACAGCGUAAUCUUUUUCGAGAGUUCUAAUCGACAAAAAGGGUUGCGACCUCGAUGUUGGAUUAAGGGUAAAUUUGGGUGCAGAAGCUCAAAAAUUAGGUCUGUUCGACCUUUGAAUCCUUACAU